UGGGGAAUAUUGCACAAUGGGCGCAAGCCUGAUGCAGCCAUGCCGCGUGUAUGAAGAAGGCCUUCGGGUUGUAAAGUACUUUCAGCGGGGAGGAAGGCGAUGCGGUUAAUAACCGCGUCGAUUGACGUUACCCGCAGAAGAAGCACCGGCUAACUCCGUGCCAGCAGCCGCGGUAAUACGGAGGGUGCAAGCGUUAAUCGGAAUUACUGGGCGUAAAGCGCACGCAGGCGGUCUGUCAAGUCGGAUGUGAAAUCCCCGGGCUCAACCUGGGAACUGCAUCCGAAACUGGCAGGCUUGAGUCUCGUAGAGGGGGGUAGAAUUCCAGGUGUAGCGGUGAAAUGCGUAGAGAUCUGGAGGAAUACCGGUGGCGAAGGCGGCCCCCUGGACGAAGACUGACGCUCAGGUGUGAAAGCGUGGGGAGCAAACA
Molecule: ribosomal RNA, 427 nt
Filed under: uncultured bacterium
Lineage: Bacteria
Description: partial 16S ribosomal RNA
Rfam family: Bacterial small subunit ribosomal RNA
Source: RNAcentral